Molecule: long non-coding RNA, 510 nt
Organism: Cyprinus carpio (common carp)
Lineage: Eukaryota; Metazoa; Chordata; Actinopteri; Cypriniformes; Cyprinidae
Exons: 3
Source: RefSeq, a predicted model, not a curated record
CACUAAUGUGAAGUCCGAGUCAUUUUGGCGAACCGGUUGUUUCAAGCAGCUCGUUCGAAUGAACCAAUUCAAGAACGAUUCACUGAUUCUUUUACGUCAUGACGUAAUCAUGUCACCGUAUGCUAGUUUCUUUAAACAGGCACUUAGAUCUUCGGGUCUCUUGCUUCUAACCGUACCACGGUGUCGCUACAAAUCAAAGAAGGCGAAGGCAGACGCUCUCGUCGGUUAACGGAUCCUCGAGGUGUCCAAUAGCCGGCCGGCUGCCUGAAACCGCGCCCACAACACCGAACAGACCGAGGCCGAGUUUCCGCUUGAGUCAGAACUAGCCGGUUGUCACUGACGUAAGGACAUGUUUGGGCGGAAAAAAACAAAAACACCGUAGCGACGGCUGCGCGAGAAUGCGUGUUGUUGCUAUGGAAACACGCAGUAUUCGGCCCCGGUUAGUGCUGUACUUCUGUUUUCUGCGUUUGCCUUCACAACAUAUCUAUGUUAACAUAAAAUAUCACCGUG